CCGAGACCGACCGUUAGAAUUCUUGAUGGAACGUUCCUAGAUUCUUAAUGGCGAUCCUCGUGACAGCGUGGUGAGGCAGGUAGAGCUUUAGCUCUGAGCAGCUUGGGGCCUUCCUCUGGCCAACAAACCUCAGAAUUGAAAGUUCCUUUAAUUAAAGAGUAUCCAAAGGUAAGAAAUCAUCCUCUGGAUGAUAUCACUGUCAUGAUAUCUUUCAGUU
This 217-nucleotide long non-coding RNA is filed under the name Monodelphis domestica (gray short-tailed opossum). RNAcentral describes it as "lncRNA (ENSMODG00000050653.1)". Lineage: Eukaryota; Metazoa; Chordata; Mammalia; Didelphimorphia; Didelphidae. The record is from RNAcentral.